AAAUUGAAGAGUUUGAUCAUGGCUCAGAUUGAACGCUGGCGGCAGGCCUAACACAUGCAAGUCGAACGGUAACAGGAAGCAGCUUGCUGCUUCGCUGACGAGUGGCGGACGGGUGAGUAAUGUCUGGGAAACUGCCUGAUGGAGGGGGAUAACUACUGGAAACGGUGGCUAAUACCGCAUAACGUCGCAAGACCAAAGAGGGGGACCUUCGGGCCUCUUGCCAUCAGAUGUGCCCAGAUGGGAUUAGCUUGUUGGUGAGGUAAUGGCUCACCAAGGCGACGAUCCCUAGCUGGUCUGAGAGGAUGACCAGCCACACUGGAACUGAGACACGGUCCAGACUCCUACGGGAGGCAGCAGUGGGGAAUAUUGCACAAUGGGCGCAAGCCUGAUGCAGCCAUGCCGCGUGUAUGAAGAAGGCCUUCGGGUUGUAAAGUACUUUCAGCGGGGAGGAAGGUGUUGCGGUUAAUAACCGCAGCAAUUGACGUUACCCGCAGAAGAAGCACCGGCUAAC
RNAcentral lists this ribosomal RNA (511 nucleotides) under Salmonella enterica. RNAcentral's name for it is "bacterial SSU rRNA". It matches the Rfam family "Bacterial small subunit ribosomal RNA", at positions 1 to 501 of the family's 1533-position model. Lineage: Bacteria; Pseudomonadati; Pseudomonadota; Gammaproteobacteria; Enterobacterales; Enterobacteriaceae. The record is from RNAcentral.